GGUGACCUUAAUGACUUAGCGAGCGCGACGGGUGAGUAACACGUGGGCACCUGCCUGUAAGACUGGGAUAACUUCGGGAAACCGGAGCUAAUACCGGAUAAUUCUUUUCAACACAUGUUGGAAAGUUAAAAGUCGGUUUCGGCUGACACUUACAGAUGGGCCCGCGGCGCAUUAGCUAGUUGGUGAGGUAACGGCUCACCAAGGCGACGAUGCGUAGCCGACCUGAGAGGGUGAUCGGCCACACUGGGACUGAGACACGGCCCAGACUCCUACGGGAGGCAGCAGUAGGGAAUCUUCCACAAUGGACGAAAGUCUGAUGGAGCAACGCCGCGUGAGCGAUGAAGGCCUUCGGGUCGUAAGCUCUGUUGUUAGGGAAGAACAAGUAUCGGAGUAACUGCCGGUACCUUGACGGUACCUAACCAGAAAGCCACGGCUAACUACGUGCCAGCAGCCGCGGUAAUACGUAGGUGGCAAGCGUUGUCCGGAAUUAUUGGGCGUAAAGCGCGCGCAGGCGGUCCUUUAAGUCUGAUGUGAAAGCCCACGGCUCACCGUGGAGGGUCAUUGGAAACUGGGGGACUUGAGUGCAGAAGAGGAAAGCGGAAUUCCACGUGUAGCGGUGAAUGCGUAGAGAUGUGGAGGAACACCAGUGGCGAGGGCGGCUUUCUGGUCUGUAACUGACGCUGAGGCGCGAAAGCGUGGGGAGCAAACAGGAUAGAUACCCUGGUAGUCCACGCCGUAAACGAUGAGUGCUAAGUGUAGAGGGUUCCGCCCUUUAGUGCUGCAGCUAACGCAUUAAGCACUCCGCCUGGGGAGUACGGCCGCAAGGCUGAAACUCAAAGGAAUUGACGGGGGCCCGCACAAGCGGUGGAGCAUGUGGUUUAAUUCGAAGCAACGCGAAGAACCUUACCAGGUCUUGACAUCCUCUGACACUCCUAGAGAUAGGACGUUCCCCUUCGGGGGACAGAGUGACAGGUGGUGCAUGGUGUCGUCAGCUCGUGUCGUGAGAUGUUGGGUUAAGUCCCGCAACGAGCGCAACCCUUGAUCUUAGUUGCCAGCAUUCAGUUGGGCACUCUAAGGUGACUGCCGGUGACAAACCGGAGGAAGGUGGGGAUGACGUCAAAUCAUCAUGCCCCUUAUGACCUGGGCUACACACGUGCUACAAUGGAUGGUACAAAGGGCUGCGAGACCGCAAGGUUUAGCCAAUCCCAUAAAACCAUUCUCAGUUCGGAUUGCAGGCUGCAACUCGCCUGCAUGAAGCCGGAAUCGCUAGUAAUCGCGUAUAA
This 1283-nucleotide ribosomal RNA is filed under the name Neobacillus bataviensis. RNAcentral describes it as "bacterial SSU rRNA". It matches the Rfam family "Bacterial small subunit ribosomal RNA", at positions 73 to 1351 of the family's 1533-position model. The record is from RNAcentral. Lineage: Bacteria; Bacillati; Bacillota; Bacilli; Caryophanales; Bacillaceae.